This 650-nucleotide ribosomal RNA is filed under the name Halalkalibacter krulwichiae. RNAcentral describes it as "bacterial SSU rRNA". It matches the Rfam family "Bacterial small subunit ribosomal RNA", at positions 801 to 1448 of the family's 1533-position model. Lineage: Bacteria; Bacillati; Bacillota; Bacilli; Caryophanales; Bacillaceae. The record is from RNAcentral.
AGAGUCGAUGAGUGCUAGGUGUUAGGGGUUUCGAUGCCCUUAGUGCCGAAGUUAACACAUUAAGCACUCCGCCUGGGGAGUACGACCGCAAGGUUGAAACUCAAAGGAAUUGACGGGGGCCCGCACAAGCAGUGGAGCAUGUGGUUUAAUUCGAAGCAACGCGAAGAACCUUACCAGGUCUUGACAUCCUUAUGCCCUCCCUAAAAAUAGGGAUUUCCCUUCGGGGAAAUAAGUGACAGGUGGUGCAUGGUUGUCGUCAGCUCGUGUCGUGAGAUGUUGGGUUAAGUCCCGCAACGAGCGCAACCCUUGAUCUUAGUUGCCAGCAUUUAGUUGGGCACUCUAAGGUGACUGCCGGUGACAAACCGGAGGAAGGUGGGGAUGACGUCAAAUCAUCAUGCCCCUUAUGACCUGGGCUACACACGUGCUACAAUGGAUGGUACAAAGAGCAGCAAAACCGCGAGGUCGAGCCAAUCUCAUAAAGCCAUUCUCAGUUCGGAUUGUAGGCUGCAACUCGCCUACAUGAAGCCGGAAUUGCUAGUAAUCGCGGAUCAGCAUGCCGCGGUGAAUACGUUCCCGGGCCUUGUACACACCGCCCGUCACACCACGAGAGUUUGUAACACCCGAAGUCGGUGGAGUAACCCUUUUGGGAG